Molecule: non-coding RNA, 91 nt
Organism: Mycena epipterygia
Lineage: Eukaryota; Fungi; Basidiomycota; Agaricomycetes; Agaricales; Mycenaceae
Source: the annotation of a GenBank genome assembly
GCGCCGUUGGUGUAGGGGUAACACACAACCUGAUAUUGAAGUGUUGUGGUAGUCUGUGGUUGGGUCCUGGGUUCGAAUCCCAGACGGCGCA